CUCCACAGUUACUGGUCUGUAACUGUUCAGAACUGUAGCAGUUGCAGUAUUCCCUCUGUGGAAAAUAAACUGUUACACAGCCAUUAGGUUCCUUCUCAGAUGUUCUGAAAAGGGCUUCCUAUGUAACAAACAUUG
Catharus ustulatus (Swainson's thrush) is the source of this 135-nucleotide small nucleolar RNA. The record is from Ensembl. Lineage: Eukaryota; Metazoa; Chordata; Aves; Passeriformes; Turdidae.